UUUGAUUCCAGUCAUGUUCUCCAGCAGCUGAGAAGCAUUGAAGUAAGAAAACAAAUUCCGUUGCUGAUUCUUGGUGGAAAAUCCCCAUCCCACAAGCCAGAUGCAAUCAUAGAGUGCACAUCAGG
Myotis myotis is the source of this 125-nucleotide long non-coding RNA. RefSeq lists it as uncharacterized. The record is from RefSeq and is a predicted model, not a curated record. The transcript has 3 exons. Lineage: Eukaryota; Metazoa; Chordata; Mammalia; Chiroptera; Vespertilionidae.